This 480-nucleotide ribosomal RNA is filed under the name uncultured bacterium. Its description in RNAcentral is "bacterial SSU rRNA". It matches the Rfam family "Bacterial small subunit ribosomal RNA", at positions 328 to 793 of the family's 1533-position model. The record is from RNAcentral.
UCAGUCGACUCCUACGGGGAGGCAGCAGUGGGGAAUAUUGCACAAUGGGGGAAACCCUGAUGCAGCCAUGCCGCGUGUGUGAAGAAGGACCUUCGGGUUGUAAAGCACUUUCAGUAGGGAGGAAGGUAGUGUAGUUAACACCUGCAUUAUUUGACGUUACCUACAGAAGAAGCACCGGCUAACUCCGUGCCAGCAGCCGCGGUAAUACGGAGGGUGCGAGCGUUAAUACGGGAAUUACUGGGCGUAAAGCGCAUGCAGGCGGCCUGUUAAGUCAGAUGUGAAAGCCCGGGGCUUAACCUCGGAAUUGCAUUUGAAACUGGCAGGCUAGAGUCUUGUAGAGGGGGGUAGGAAUUUCAGGUGUAGCGGUGAAAUGCGUAGAGAUCUGAAGGAAUACCAGUGGCGAAGGCGGCCCCCUCGGACAAAGACUGAACGCUCAGAUGCGAAAGCGUGGGUAGCAAACAGGAUUAGAUACCCUGGUAG